CGGGGUGCACCAGGCGCGAAAACUUUACAAUGCCGGCAACGGCGAUAAGGGAACCUCGAGUGCCAGGUUAUAAAUCUGGCUGUCGUGAUGCCUAAAAAGCAUUGCAUAGCAAGGGCCGGGCAAGACCGGUGCCAGCCGCCGCGGUAACACCGGCGGCUUGAGUGGUAACCGUUAUUAUUGGGUCUAAAGGGUCUGUAGCCGGCCGGGUAAGUCUCUUGGGAAAUCUGGCAGCUUAACUGUCAGGCUUUCAGGAGAUACUGCCUGGCUCGAGGCCGGGAGAGGUGAGAGGUACUUCAGGGGUAGGGGUGAAAUCUUGUAAUCCUUGAAGGACCACCAGUGGCGAAGGCGUCUCACCAGAACGGACCUGACGGCAAGGGACGAAAGCUAGGGGCACGAACCGGAUUAGAUACCCGGGUAGUCCUAGCCGUAAACGAUACUCGCUAGGUGUCGGCCACGGUGCGACCGUGGUCGGUGCCGUAGGGAAGCCGUGAAGCGAGCCACCUGGGAAGUACGGCCGCAAGGCUGAAACUUAAAGGAAUUGGCGGGGGAGCACAAGGGCGAAUUCG
RNAcentral lists this ribosomal RNA (566 nucleotides) under uncultured archaeon. RNAcentral describes it as "bacterial SSU rRNA". It matches the Rfam family "Archaeal small subunit ribosomal RNA", at positions 326 to 892 of the family's 1478-position model. The record is from RNAcentral.